UGAACGCUAGCGGGAGGCCUAACACAUGCAAGCCGAGCGGGAUUUGUUGGUUAGCUUGCUAACUAACAAUGAGAGCGGCGUACGGGUGCGUAGCACGUGUGCAACCUGCCUUUAUCUGGGGGAUAGCCUUUCGAAAGGAAGAUUAAUACCCCAUAACAUAUUGAUUGGCAUCAGUUAAUAUUGAAAGCUCCGGCGGAUAGAGAUGGGCACGCGUAAGAUUAGCUAGUUGGUGAGGUAACGGCUCACCAAGGCUGCGAUCUUUAGGGGGCCUGAGAGGGUGAUCCCCCACACUGGUACUGAGACACGGACCAGACUCCUACGGGAGGCAGCAGUGAGGAAUAUUGGACAAUGGGUGAGAGCCUGAUCCAGCCAUCCCGCGUGAAGGACUAAGGACCUAUGGUUUGUAAACUUCUUUUAUACAGGGAUAAACCUACUCUCGUGAGGGUAGCUGAAGGUACUGUAUGAAUAAGCACCGGCUAACUCCGUG
This 487-nucleotide ribosomal RNA is filed under the name uncultured bacterium. Its description in RNAcentral is "partial 16S ribosomal RNA". It matches the Rfam family "Bacterial small subunit ribosomal RNA", at positions 30 to 507 of the family's 1533-position model. The record is from RNAcentral.